Molecule: ribosomal RNA, 408 nt
Filed under: uncultured bacterium
Lineage: Bacteria
Description: partial 16S ribosomal RNA
Rfam family: Bacterial small subunit ribosomal RNA
Source: RNAcentral
GACGAACGCUGGCGGCGUGCUUAACACAUGCAAGUUGAACGAAGUAGCGAACGGGUGAGUAAUACGUGGGUAACCUGCCCUCCUUUCUGGGAUAAGCCUUGGAAACGGGGUCUAACACCGAAUAAAGGGGGAUGGGCUCGCGGCCUGUCAGCUGGUUUGUGGGGUUAUGGCCUACCAAGGCGGUGACGGGUAGCCGGCCUGGGAGGGUGACCGGCCAACUUGGGACUGGGAUACAGCCCCGACUCCUACGGGAGGCAGCAGGGGGGGAUAUUGCACAAUGGGCGAAAGCCUGAUGCAGCAACGCCGCGGGAGUGAUGACGGCCUUCGGGUUGUAAAGCUCUGUUAAUCGGGUCACAGUACCGGAAUAGAUAUCCACGGCUAACUACGUGCCAGCAGCCGCGGUAAUAC